Molecule: ribosomal RNA, 253 nt
Filed under: uncultured bacterium
Lineage: Bacteria
Description: partial 16S ribosomal RNA
Rfam family: Bacterial small subunit ribosomal RNA
Source: RNAcentral
UACAGAGGGUGCUAGCGUUGUUCGGAAUCAUUGGGCGUAAAGGGUGCGUAGGCGGUUCGUACAGUCAGACGUGAAAUUCCCGGGCUCAACCUGGGGGCUGCGUUUGAUACGUGCGGGCUUGAGUUCGGAAGAGGGUCGUGGAAUUCCCAGUGUAGAGGUGAAAUUCGUAGAUAUUGGGAAGAACACCGGUGGCGAAGGCGGCGACCUGGUCCGAUACUGACGCUGAGGCGCGAAAGCGUGGGGAGCAAACAGG